Long non-coding RNA from Triticum aestivum (bread wheat), 1934 nucleotides. RefSeq lists it as uncharacterized. NCBI's taxonomy places the organism in Eukaryota, Viridiplantae, Streptophyta, Magnoliopsida, Poales, Poaceae. The record is from RefSeq and is a predicted model, not a curated record. The transcript is spliced from 3 exons.
ACCCACUCCUCCUCUCCACUCGACUCUUUCCCCCCUGAGCCACCAACUCUUUUCCCCAACUCGACCCACUGCCGACUCCACCUCUCCUCCUCCAUCUUCGCCGAAUCCUCCUCUCCACCGCCGUUUCCGUAUCCUCCUCCCGCCCUCUCAACCCACCACCGCCGCCGACUCCUUCCUCUCCCGCGGAGAUAUGAAUCCGCAGCUGACUCCUUCCUCUCCAUUUGGUUUUCUGCUGCUGUUUAGAUUAGGGUUUGAUUCCAUUGAAUUAGGGUUCAACUGAUUGGAUUAGGGUUUGAUUAGGGUGGUUGGAUUAGGUUUUGAUUAGGGUUGGAUUAGGGUUCUUGCCGCAACUGUUGUUUUGUAUUGGAUUGGAUUAGUGUUCGUUUGGAAAUUCGGGUUAGAUUAGGUAGUAGCAAAAUAUGAUAUGGUUCUGGUUGAUGUUGUCUGACCGACUGACCCUGGGUUAGAGCCAAGUUGGAUUAGAGCCCAGUUUUUGUAAAUAUGGUCCAUUUAUCUAAUAUGGUUCUAGCUGUGUUUAUAGAUAUGGUUCUAGCAAAAUGUAGCACAUGGGCAGAUAUGGUCCAUUUAUAGUAGAUAUGGUUCUAGCUAUGUUUGCCAUUUAUAGUAGACACGAGCACAUGGGCAGAUAUGAUCCAUUGUAUAGCAAGUUGUUUUGCCAUCUAUAGUAGUAUUCCAAAUUGAGGCCCUCGCGAAGACAACUAGUAAAUAUUCUACUAUUUUUAAGGGUGCCAAUUGCCAUUGCCAACUAACCUACCAAAUUAAUUAAGUGUUGUUGACCACAAGUGCAUUGCUUUUUGUUUUCUCAGUUUUUCCUAGAAAUAAGCAGGCUCUGUUCCAAUUACACCACUUUCAUGUCUAAAAAACUUGGCUCUGUUCCAACUAGUUGAUUGACCUACAUCUCUUUCAUGUCUAAAAACUUGGCUUUGUUCCAACUAUGUCCAGUCCUGUUUAUGCUAACUUGUUGUUUAAUGACAAUGGUACUUUUCAGAGAGGAGGGGAGGCCGCCACCUCCUGUUGCGCUCUGCCACGCCAAAAAGUGAGAUGGCCGGCUUGGAAUGUUUUGAGUUAUUCGAGAUCAUAAUUGAGAAAUCCUACAGCAGACAGGUGCAGAGGCUGCCUGACAAGUUUGCGAAGAUGCUCCAGGGCCAUGAGCCCCAUAAAGUGAAGUUGCGGGAGGCCGGCCGCGGGCGUCACAGGCUGUGAGACAUGCUGGUGGUGUUGGAUGCUGACAACCACAUGUACCUGGGGCGUGGCUGGGAGCAUUUCGCCUACGCCCGUGACCUGCAGCUCGGACACUUCCUUGUCUUCCGCUACGACAGCUACACCGUGCUCCCCAUGAAGGUGUCGACGGGACCAUGUGCAGCAGGCACUACCAUCACGACGACGAUGCCAGCAAUGGGAGCAGCAGCAGGGAUAAUGAGGAGCAGAGUGGGGAAGAAGAGGAGCAGAGCGGGGAGGUGCAGCCUAUUCUGGCUGACGACGACCUUGCUAUGGUGGUGGCUGACAAUGACCUUGCGAUGGUGGUGGCGGACGAUGACCUCGCGUUUGUGGUGCCUAACGAUGACCUCGUGAUAGUGGUUCCUGACGAUGGCCUCGAGAUGCUUGCGCCUGACGAUGGCAUCGCGAUGGUGGUGGCGCCGGUGAUCCCAUAGCUGGGUGACAGGGCUAGGCAAAUUGUGGUAGAGAAGUACAUCCGUGUUGGCAUUUGCCACUCUAAGCGCAUCAGGAUGACGAAGGAGAAGAAGGAGAAGAAUGAGGAGUGAAGAUGUUAAUAAAUCAAGUGGCAAUGUUAAGCAUGUUAAUCUGAACAUGUCAAUGUUUAGUAUCUCAGGUUUAAGUUUGUUAGUGCAAACUUCUUAAGUAUGACAGUGUCAGCCAAGCUCAGAUUGAAAUUGAUGGGAAUUGAAAUUUUG